Molecule: small nuclear RNA, 107 nt
Filed under: Dasypus novemcinctus (nine-banded armadillo)
Lineage: Eukaryota; Metazoa; Chordata; Mammalia; Cingulata; Dasypodidae
Source: RNAcentral
GUGCUCUCCUUGGCAGCACAUGUACUAUAAGUGGAACAAUACAGAGAAGAUUAGCAUGGUCCCUGCACAAGGAUGACAUGCAAAUUCAUGAAGCAUUCCAUAUGUUU